UUUGUGAGCCUAGAAAAACAAACGCACUAUAAUCAAACUGAUUAUAGUGAAAUUUUCAAUAGAAGCUUGGAGAGUGGAUGUAGGUGCGAGUUGCAUUGAACCACUAUAAAAUUCUUAUGUUUAUAUUAUGCUUUCUCUCGUUUAUCUUUCUUACAUUCAAUACUUACUUUACAUAGUUAUAAUUAUUGAAUAGCAAUUUUCAUAUCUUAUUUCCACUACUGAAUUGCAUCUACUUCACCAACACUUAAGUUAGCUCAAUUAAUUGCACAUACUUAUUUAGAUCUCAAAUUUGAUUAAAAUUUUAUAAGAACCCAAUUCACCUCCCUCUUAGAUUGCUACCUUUCUGGGAAACAAGUGUAGAGACACUAAGCGACAAGUAUGGAUAGUUGUUAGAGCGCAACUAAUACUAAGCAUGACCAUAUGAGAGAUCACGUGAAUUUCUAUUUAAUCAUCAGUGAUCAGUACGAUGCUGUAGUUGUAUAAAUGAUCCUUCAAUCUGUAGUGACACGACUGCUCACAGUGAGGCUACUGGAGUAUGACUCCACAAAAAUAUGACCUCUUAGCCACUUAAGUCCUUGUAGUGUAUGUUGGUGAUAGUUGGUCACCUGUAAGAGCAGAGUGUGUAU
RNAcentral lists this long non-coding RNA (626 nucleotides) under Elaeis guineensis (African oil palm). RNAcentral's name for it is "long non-coding RNA (EGUI_LNC046267)". The record is from RNAcentral. Lineage: Eukaryota; Viridiplantae; Streptophyta; Magnoliopsida; Arecales; Arecaceae.